UACGGAGGGUGCGAGCGUUGUCCGGAAUCAUUGGGCGUAAGGGCGCGUAGGUGGCCCCUCAAGCGUGCGGUGAAAGUCAGGGGCUCAACCCCUGAUCGGCCGUGCGAACUGGGGAGCUUGAGCACUGUAGAGGCAGGCGGAAUUCCGGGUGUAGCGGUGGAAUGCGUAGAGAUCCGGAAGAACACCGGUGGCGAAGGCGGCCUGCUGGGCAGUAGCUGACGCUGAGGCGCGACAGCGUGGGGAGCAAACAGG
This 252-nucleotide ribosomal RNA is filed under the name uncultured bacterium. Its description in RNAcentral is "partial 16S ribosomal RNA". It matches the Rfam family "Bacterial small subunit ribosomal RNA", at positions 524 to 776 of the family's 1533-position model. The record is from RNAcentral.